RNAcentral lists this ribosomal RNA (253 nucleotides) under uncultured bacterium. RNAcentral describes it as "partial 16S ribosomal RNA". It matches the Rfam family "Bacterial small subunit ribosomal RNA", at positions 524 to 776 of the family's 1533-position model. The record is from RNAcentral.
UACGGAGGGUGCAAGCGUUAUCCGGAAUCACUGGGUUUAAAGGGUGCGUAGGCGGGCAGAUAAGUCAGAGGUGAAAGCUCACGGCCUAACCGUGGAAUUGCCUUUGAAACUGUUUGUCUUGAAUCAGGUUGAGGUUAGCGGAAUGUGACAUGUAGCGGUGAAAUGCAUAGAUAUGUCAUAGAACACCAAUUGCGUAGGCAGCUGACUGGACCUGUAUUGACGCUGAGGCACGAAAGCGUGGGGAGCGAACAGG